This 943-nucleotide long non-coding RNA is filed under the name Solanum tuberosum (potato). RNAcentral's name for it is "long non-coding RNA (STUB_LNC011271)". Lineage: Eukaryota; Viridiplantae; Streptophyta; Magnoliopsida; Solanales; Solanaceae. The record is from RNAcentral.
UUGAUUUUCCGGGUAAUCAAUACUUCAUUGUUCAAAUAUUUGGAACAAGCAGUUGUGAGAAGAUCAAGUUCUAUAGUGAAAUUGGCAAAGGAGGAAAAAGAGCACGGACUUACGUGGAAGCAACCAUUCCAGUAAAGUUGUUUCGAACAACUGAGAUAAAUAAAUGAAGAAAAGGACUAAAACAUUUGUUGCAUCAGAGUAUGAAAAGGUCACAUACAUUUUGCUGCAUCAGUUGGAUCUGAUGCAACAAUUGUUUUACUCUCUUUUCUUUACUGAAUUUAUAUCAGUUGUUUGAAGCAGCUCAACCGGGGUAGUUUCUUCCACAUAGGUCGUUGCUCUUUUUAUUACUUUGCCUAGUUGGCCCAGAUUCAUCGACCCCAUGACUUACUUCUGCCUUUCUAUCCUGUUGGCGAGAAAAAUAGGUUUGCUCAGAUUUGUACAAAGAUGACAACACAAGAUUUUUUUAUCAGUUAUAUUUUUAUGUCAACUUUACGGUAGGUUUUUUCACACACUUAUACUAAGUUCUUGUACAUAAAAAUUACUAACACAUUUUUCUUUGACAAUAAUGUUGUGGAAUGAUCAAAAUGUACUGAAACAUGAAAGAACAUAAUCACCUGUUGUCAAUUCAUCCAUAUUAAUUGCUUGUGCUUGGCUGAUUUUUUUUUUGUUUUCCAGUUUGUGUAUUGUUUCUUCUAUCGUUUAAUAUCGACCUGUUUUAUACCUAUGCAGGAAGUACCAUAAUAUUGGCAAAAAUAUUUACCAAAAGGAAAAAGCUCGGAAGGUGGAUUAUUUUUCUCCGAAGAGCGGAUAAAAGAAUGUGGUCUAUCUAUUAUCAUAGCAGAUCAGGUUUUGAUGUUUUGACAUGUGGAUGGGAGAAAGUUCUGGACGCUUAUGGCAUGAAUGCGGGAAAUGGUUGUAUUUUUCAACUUGUCCAUCACCGGGG